This 2161-nucleotide unclassified non-coding RNA is filed under the name Limulus polyphemus (Atlantic horseshoe crab). Its description in RNAcentral is "spermine oxidase-like, transcript variant X9". Lineage: Eukaryota; Metazoa; Arthropoda; Merostomata; Xiphosura; Limulidae. The record is from RNAcentral.
UCUGCCCACAUCGGAUAUUGAAACCCGAUUUUUAGUGUUAUAAGCUCUUAGAUUUAUCCCUGAAGCAUCCGAGGGGAACAGAGAAGUUUGUAAGUUUCGAGCAAAACUACUUGUGCUUGCCGUCCCUAACUUUGAAGUGAUUGCCUAGAGAGAAGGCAGUUAGACAACACCACACACACCACCAACUCUUUAGUUACUUUACCAACAAAAGUGAAAUCAACAGUCACGUUAUAAAGUCCUCAAGGCUGAAGGGGCGAGCAUGUUCGACGAUAUGAGUCGGGGGUUCUAACUGGCCAGCCCAUGACAGGCCCGGAGGAAGAAGAAGUUUUAUGUCACAUAUCAUCCCUUGUAGGAUCUCAGAGGUGAACAUGACAGACACUGUUAGUACUGGAAGUGUAAGUGAUGAUAGAACUCAUGCUUCAUUCAGCCCCCAAAAUGCACUCCCUCAAAUACUUUUUAAAGAAAAUUACAUAACAUCAAAGCACUGGACAGUAGUUAUAGUUGGAGCUGGUGUUGCAGGAUUGGCAGCUGCUCAGAGACUGAUGGAAGGAGGUUGCAAUAGUGUCCUGGUUUUAGAGGCACAAGAUCAUCCUGGUGGUCGAAUCCAUACUAUGAAUUUUGGUGAUGGAGUGCUGGAGCUUGGAGCUCAAUGGGUGCAUGGAGAGAAAGGAAAUCCUCUUUUUGAAUAUGCCCAAAAUAUGGAUAUUUUGAGUGACCCAAGGACAGAAUAUUCUGUGGAAGCAAGAGGUUUGUUCUAUAGUGAGACAGCUGAGCAGGUUCCUGAGAUUGUUGUGGAUGAAACUUUAAUGGCUUUGGAGAAUAUUAAAGAAAAUAUUUAUAAAAUGUUCAGUCCUACUGAAAGUGAUAAUAUUUUGUCUAGUUCAGCCUCAGUUGGAGAUUUUUUUAAACAAAAAUUUGAAAUGUUUUUAGAAGAAUGUGGAGAUUUACCACAUGUCCAAGCAUGGAGAAGAGGGAUCUAUGAAUGGUUCCUAAAAUAUGAGUUGACAGAAAAUGCCUGUAAUAGUUUGAAUGAUGUAUCUUGUUGUGGAUUUGCCGAGUGGACAGAUUGUCCUGGAAAUUACCUUAUCAACUUUAAAAAUGGGUUUCAGUCAGUAGUUAAGUCCCUGAGUAAGGACAUUUCAUCUGAACAGCUAUGUCUGUCUAAACCGGUCAGUUGUAUUCAUUGGCAAGAAACAUAUGAAGGUAAAGAGUUGCCUACUGUGACAGUGGAAUGCUCAGAUGGAGAUAUGCUAUGUGCUGAUCACGUUAUACUUACAAUGUCAGUUGGCUAUUUGAAACAACACAAUCAGACGCUCUUUAGUCCUCCACUACCAGACAGGAAGCAAGAACUUUUAACACACUUGGGGUUUGGAUCAGUGGAGAAAAUCUUCUUGGUGUUUGACACACCAUUUUGGAGUGACUCAGACCUUGGCUUUCAGCUUGUAUGGACUUCCAAUACAGAAGCUUCUAGUGAAUGGGUGCGUGGAAUUAGAGGUUUUGAUACUGUUAAGGGCCAUUCUAAUGUUCUGUUAGGAUGGAUCAGUGGAAAAGAUGCAGAACUAAUGCAGACAUUAGGAGAAGAAGAAGUGAAAAUUAAGUGUGCAUUUUUGCUGAGAAUGUUUUUGGGUCGAAGUGAUAUUCCUUUACCAAGAAGAGUCAUUAGGUCAAAUUGGCAGAAAAACCAAUACAUCUGUGGAGCUUAUAGUUAUCGAUCAGUGAGUUACACAAAAUUAGGUUUCAGGACAAGUAUUUUGGCUGAGCCAUUGUAUUGCACGCUGUUGAACAAGGAAGUGCCAGAAAAGUGGCCAGUGGUGUUGUUUGCUGGAGAAGCUACUGACCAGGAUUUUUUUUCCUCUGCUCAUGGAAGUCUGAGAUCAGGAUGGAGAGAAGCUGAUCGCUUGCUUUCAUUAAAGAGAUCAUGUAUAACUUGGAACUGGUUGCUUUCAUCACAGCUUUGGUCUACAUCAACGUCCACAUCACAUUUCUAUAUCAACACUUUGAGGAGGCGAGUUUGAGCCUUCUUUUUUCACAGGGACUUUCUGCUCUCAGCUUGAGACAUUUGCAACUUUCCCAGAUGCUUUGAGGUACUUACCUAUUAAAUAGCUUCCCUCCUGCCUCUGCACAACCACAUUUUCAUCAUGACUGCAACUUUCAAGCAAGU